RNAcentral lists this ribosomal RNA (564 nucleotides) under uncultured bacterium. RNAcentral's name for it is "bacterial SSU rRNA". It matches the Rfam family "Bacterial small subunit ribosomal RNA", at positions 38 to 601 of the family's 1533-position model. The record is from RNAcentral.
GGCGGCAUGCCUUACACAUGCAAGUCGAACGGUAGAGUAGCAAUACUCGAGAGUGGCGAACGGGUGAGUAAUAUAUCGGAACGUGCCCAGUCGUGGGGGAUAACGUAGAGAAAUUUACGCUAAUACCGCAUACGAUCUACGGAUGAAAGCGGGGGAUUCGCAAGAACCUCGCGCGAUUGGAGCGGCUGAUAUCAGAUUAGGUUGUUGGUGAGGUAAAAGCUCACCAAGCCGACGAUCUGUAGCUGGUUUGAGAGAACGACCAGCCACACUGGGACUGAGACACGGCCCAGACUCCUACGGGAGGCAGCAGUGGGGAAUUUUGGACAAUGGGCGCAAGCCUGAUCCAGCCAUUCCGCGUGAGUGAAGAAGGCCUUCGGGUUGUAAAGCUCUUUCGCAAGGGAAGAAAACUUAUCCUCUAACAUAGGAUGAGGUUGACGGUACCUUGAUAAGAAGCACCGGCUAACUACGUGCCAGCAGCCGCGGUAAUACGUAGGGUGCGAGCGUUAAUCGGAAUUACUGGGCGUAAAGCGUGCGCAGGCUGUUUUGUAAGUCAGAUGUGAAAUC